Molecule: ribosomal RNA, 402 nt
Filed under: uncultured bacterium
Lineage: Bacteria
Description: bacterial SSU rRNA
Rfam family: Bacterial small subunit ribosomal RNA
Source: RNAcentral
UAUUGCGCAAUGGGGGCAACCCUGACGCAGCCAUGCCGCGUGAAUGAAGAAGGCCUUCGGGUUGUAAAGUUCUUUCGGUGAUGAGGAAGGAGGAUGUUUAAAUAGGGCAUUCAAUUGACGUUAAUCACAGAAGAAGCACCGGCUAACUCCGUGCCAGCAGCCGCGGUAAUACGGAGGGUGCGAGCGUUCAUCGGAAUAACUGGGCGUAAAGGGCACGCAGGCGGAUAAUUAAGUGAGAUGUGAAAUCCCCGAGCUUAACUUGGGAAUUGCAUUUCAUACUGGUUAUCUAGAGUCUUGUAGAGAGGGGUAGAAUUCCACGUGUAGCGGUGAAAUGCGUAGAGAUGUGGAGGAAUACCGGAGGCGAAGGCGGCCCCUGGACAAAGACUGACGCUCAUUGCGAAG